GCCGCCGCCGCCUCUCCUCCUCUUCCUCCUCUUUCUCCCGUGCCUCCGCCGCUUCUCCUCACCUUCCUCCUCUUUCUCCCGUGCCGCCGCCGCCUCUCCUCCUCCUCCUCCUCCUCCUCCUCCCUACGUUAGCGCGGUUGGGUCAUCGGGUGAGCAGCGGCAGGCAUCUGUAGUGUGUCGGAGUGUGCGGAUGAUGACAGCGGCACGCAUCUUGGUGAGGCAGCGGCCACGGCCGUGCCCUCCUCUGCGCUUCCUCUUGAAGUACCCUCUGCUGCCGCGUGCUCGUCCUUCGUGUGUUACCGCACCGAGGAGACGGGUACACGAACUAGGCGGGCCACGGGACGACAGCUGCUCGAGCACCCACCUCAUGAGGAGGGGUUGAGUACAGCUCCCAGAUCAUGGAGGAGAUGCCAGCACAGGGUUUGGUGGCAGAAGUCACUGGAUGCAUGCUCAAGAAGCCCAGCACGGCCAGGUUGACAUUGUUGGAGUAAGUUGCUAUUCUUCAAAGGACCUGUUGUCUUGGAGAAACAAAGGAGUUGUGCUCCAUGGCGAGGAAAAUAAUUUGUCACAUGACCUCCACAAAUCCAAUGUCUUGGAGAGACCCAAGGUGGUCUAUAACAACCGGACCGGCAAAUACGUGAUGUGGAUGCACAUAGACGAUGCGAACUACACCAAAUCCUCAAUCAGCGUGGCGACGAGUGAUUCUCCCAUGGGACCAUUCACUUAUCUCUACAGUAAGCGCCCACAUAACUACGAAAGAAGAGGCAUGACCAUUUUCAAGGCCUACCUGAUAUAUUCAUCCAAGGGCAACAAUGAGCUCCACAUUGUGCAGCUAACCGAUGACUACCUCGACGUGACCGACGGCAUGCGAAGAAUUCUCGUCGCACGGUAUCGAGAACCCCUCGCGCUCUUCAAGUUCCGUGACAUCUACUACUGAUAACCUCGGGUUACACCGGCUGGGCACCGAACACUGCAAGGUGAAGAAAAAUUCAGAUGGGAAACUACACAUAUAUAUUGUAUGCUAUACAAAUAUUGCAACAUACAUGGGUGCCAAUGCGGAUGCCGAUGCUACCUAUCGUAUGUUGAUAUUAACAUGGAGGAGGCACAUAUGUUUGUUGAUUCUGUUUCUGGGUUGGCCCUUGAGGGGGAGAGAAAGCAAACUUCAGCAUGCUUCAGGGAUUUUAUACAUGGUGUCAACACAAUUCUCCGGUACAUUGCACGUGCUGCAUUUGUUUCCAGCUUCUAUGGCCAGGACGAUAUUCAGGCAGCACAAGUUGACCAAUGGCUCAAGUACGUACCAACUCAUUCUCUCGGGCUCUGAAUUUGAAUCUGCUUGCUCAUUUCUUGAUGGAUACUUGGCAACUCGAACCUUUUUUGUUGGUUAUGGUCUAUCAAUUGCUGACAUUGUCAUGUGGUCAAAUCUCACAGGUCACCAUGGUUGUUCCAUUGUCAUAUCAUUCAUCAUAUGCUGCUGUUUAGCAUCACAAAAGAAGAAGGCCAGAGUUAUUUCUUCGUUUUGGAUAUUUUCCAUCAUAACUAGCAGCCAAUCUGAGCCGAAUAUCUGAAGUAAUUUCCGUAAGUUAAGUUCCGGUGCUCCUAUCUUUGAACUAGAAUCUUAGCGCUUAUUUUGUCCACGUCAAGGUUUCUUUGUGUGCAAUUGAAAAUUAUGUGAGAACUGGGUUUUUACUCCAAUACCCCAAUUUCAGCAGAUAUUGAAAACCCCAAGAGUUUGGUGCCAUUUGUCACGCUUGUAUACUUAAUGCUAUUCUUUGUGUCUUUAAUAAUGUCUCACCAUUUGUACAACUCAAAAGAGGAUUUCCCAUGAACAUUUUAGCACUGCUCUUACCUAUCGAUCAAAAAAUGUUAUUCUCUACAGGUUAAAUUUGUUUGAAGAUGAUACUAUGCAUGAUGCGUAAGCUGGGGAUGGCAUGACAGUGCAUGCUGAUGCUGUCGGUCGAGAAGUACCAUACCGCUCUUGCCUUCCCUGCCAAUGCUUCCUCCUGCCAUGCUAGCCAUGUGUGCCCUCACCUUUGUUCAUCAAUUCGUGCGCAGUUAUUCAAUGAACACCACAUGUCACAUGAAAUUUAGACUACUUGUCUACAGGUAAUUGGUUAGAAUCAGUUUCUUGAGUUGGCUUGCUUAGCAUGUAAUAUUUCACUCACUAAUUGUAUUAUUUCACAGUUGGCAAUUGUUAGAAUCAGGUCUUAAGUUUGCUUGCUUAAUCAUGUCCCUGUGUAAUUGCUCACCAAGCUCGCCAAUUGUGAGUUUGUCCCACAUAAUGGAGUUUCUAUGAAUUUUUGUAGUCCAGAAAUUCUUGGAAAUUCUCUUGUUGCUGUUAUAAUGUGGGUGUGUUCGGCUUCCUUCUUCAUUAAAGGUUGUCCUUUUUCCUUCAUAACUACGCUUAAUGGGUAGCGGGUAGCUGUUAUGCUCACUUUGCUCAAAGCAAGGUUGUGUAGCCGUGCUAUUUUGUGCUUUAAGAAGUAAGGCGACACUAAAUCAGUAAUCCCGUGCUUCUGCUAUGUUGGCCCAAAGUCACUAUUUUUUUCAUGUUAUCUUUACUCUUUAGCCAUUCCAAAACAUUUAUCUGAUUUGCAGUAUGGCGCCUUUGUUUCUGGUCUACAAAACAACAACUUUUACCCAGGCUUGUUAUUUCUAAUUCAUUCUUUUUCCCUGCUUGCUUAUUAUAACACAAGCCAUCAUGACUCUACUAUCAAUCAUACACACCUUUUCGAUAUACUCCCUCUGUCCAAAAAAGCUUUUCCCAAGUUUGUCCCUCAAAUGGAUGUAUCUACUAUAUACGGAGCAAAAUGAGUGAAUCUACACUAAAAUAUGUCUAUAUACAUCCGUAUGUAGUCCUUAUUGAAAUAUCUAAAAAGACUUAUAUUUAGGAACGGAAGGAGUAUACAUUUAGUAUUUCAACCAUAACUUAUUGAAUGAUAGGUCACCGAUUAUAAUUUCAAAGAGGAUUUUAUAUAGGCCCUAUUUUCAUUUCGAUCUGUCCAUGAUACCCUUGCAUUAAUAUUGUAUGACAUUGUUUAUUCAUCUUCAUAUGUUCUGUUCAGUGCAAAUGCUACAUGUAUGUGCUUAUUACGUCAGCAUGGAUGAUAUGUUUGAUGCCCGUAUAGAGAUGCUACUUUAUUUUAUUGUUCAUCUCUUCCGGUCAUUUCUUAAUAAUCUUCAUUAUUAUUAAUGAAAUGGCACCAUAAUCUGUUAUAUGGUGGUUGGAAUGUGGUUACAUGGAAUUAUGUAUC
Molecule: long non-coding RNA, 3251 nt
Organism: Triticum dicoccoides
Lineage: Eukaryota; Viridiplantae; Streptophyta; Magnoliopsida; Poales; Poaceae
Exons: 10
Source: RefSeq, a predicted model, not a curated record